RNAcentral lists this ribosomal RNA (424 nucleotides) under Verrucomicrobiota bacterium. RNAcentral's name for it is "Verrucomicrobia bacterium partial 16S ribosomal RNA". It matches the Rfam family "Bacterial small subunit ribosomal RNA", at positions 355 to 776 of the family's 1533-position model. The record is from RNAcentral. Lineage: Bacteria; Pseudomonadati; Verrucomicrobiota.
UGAGGAAUAUUGGUCAAUGGACGCCAGUCUGAACCAGCCAAGUCGCGUGCAGGAUGACGGCCCUAUGGGUUGUAAACUGCUUUUAUAUGGGGAUAAAGUGGGGAACGUGUUCCCUUUUGCAGGUACCAUAUGAAUAAGGACCGGCUAAUUCCGUGCCAGCAGCCGCGGUAAUACGGAAGGUUCGGGCGUUAUCCGGAUUUAUUGGGUUUAAAGGGAGCGUAGGCCGUUUGGUAAGCGUGUUGUGAAAUGUAGGAGCUCAACUUCUAGAUUGCAGCGCGAACUGUCAGACUUAAGUGCGCACAACGUAGGCGGAAUUCAUGGUGUAGCGGUGAAAUGCUUAGAUAUCAUGAAGAACUCCGAUUGCGAAGGCAGCUUACGGGAGCGCAACUGACGCUGAAGCUCGAAGGUGCGGGUAUCGAACAGG